RNAcentral lists this ribosomal RNA (253 nucleotides) under uncultured bacterium. RNAcentral's name for it is "partial 16S ribosomal RNA". It matches the Rfam family "Bacterial small subunit ribosomal RNA", at positions 524 to 776 of the family's 1533-position model. The record is from RNAcentral.
UACGGGGGGGGCAAGCGUUGUUCGGAAUUACUGGGCGUAAAGGGCUCGUAGGCGGCCAACUAAGUCGGACGUGAAAUCCCCAGGCUCAACCCGGGAACUGCGUCCGAUACUGGCAGGCUUGAAUCCGGGAGAGGGAUGUGGAAUUCCAGGUGUAGCGGUGAAAUGCGUAGAUAUCGUAAGGAAGACCAGUGGCGAAGGCGGGUCUCUGGACAGUUCCUGACGCUGAGGCACGAAGGUCAGGGGAGCAAACGGG